UGCUGCCAUGGGCGCAGCCUGAUGCAGCGACGCCGCGUGAGGGAUGAAGGCCUUCGGGUUGUAAACCUCUUUCAGGAGGGACGAAGCCCCUGUGACGGUUCCUGCAGAAGAUGCCCGUGCCUCCUACAUGCCCCCCGGCGCGGUAAUUGGUAGGGGGCGAGCGUUGUCCUGAGGUGCUGGGCGUGUCCGGAUUUUAUGCGGUUUGUCACGUCGGAAGUGGAAACGCAAGGCUCAAGUGAAAACCUGCGGCUCAUACUGGCAGACUCGAGGGAAGCAGGGGGGAAUGGAAUUCGUGGAGGAGAGUUGAAAUGCUGGUAUAUCGGGAAGAAGCCCGGAGAUCAAGGCGAAUCUCUGGGGCUUAACCGACUCUGAGGAACGGUAGUGUGGCUAACGAACUAGA
RNAcentral lists this ribosomal RNA (400 nucleotides) under uncultured bacterium. RNAcentral describes it as "bacterial SSU rRNA". It matches the Rfam family "Bacterial small subunit ribosomal RNA", at positions 365 to 777 of the family's 1533-position model. The record is from RNAcentral.